AGACCCGAAACCCGGUGAUCUAGCCAUGGGCAGGUUGAAGGUUGGGUAACACUAACUGGAGGACCGAACCGACUAAUGUUGAAAAAUUAGCGGAUGACCUGUGGCUGGGGGUGAAAGGCCAAUCAAACCGGGAGAUAGCUGGUUCUCCCCGAAAGCUAUUUAGGUAGCGCCUCGUGAAUUCAUCUCCGGGGGUAGAGCACUGUUUCGGCUAGGGGGCCAUCCCGGCUUACCAACCCGAUGCAAACUGCGAAUACCGGAGAAUGUUAUCACGGGAGACACACGGCGGGUGCUAACGUCCGUCGUGAAGAGGGAAACAACCCAGACCGCCAGCUAAGGUCCCAAAGUCAUGGUUAAGUGGGAAACGAUGUGGGAAGGCCCAGACAGCCAGGAUGUUGGCUUAGAAGCAGCCAUCAUUUAAAGAAAGCGUAAUAGCUCACUGGUCGAGUCGGCCUGCGCGGAAGAUGUAACGGGGCUAAACCAUGCACCGAAGCUGCGGCAGCGAACGUAUCACUUAAAGCGAUUCAGCGGAUGACGAUUGACGGAGCGAAGCGACGUCAAAGCGUAUACAAAGUCGAGUCGGUUUAAGGAUACGUUCGUUGGGUAGGGGAGCGUUCUGUAAGCCUGCGAAGGUGGCCUGUGAGGGUUGCUGGAGGUAUCAGAAGUGCGAAUGCUGACAUAAGUAACGAUAAAGCGGGUGAAAAGCCCGCUCGCCGGAAGACCAAGGGUUCCUGUCCAACGUUAAUCGGGGCAGGGUGAGUCGACCCCUAAGGCGAGGCCGAAAGGCGUAGUCGAUGGGAAACGGGUUAAUAUUCCCGUACUUGGUGUUACUGCGAAGGGGGGACGGAGAAGGCUAUGUUGGCCGGGCGACGGUUGUCCCGGUUUAAGCGUGUAGGUGUGUGUUCCAGGUAAAUCCGGUUCACUUUAACACUGAGGCGUGACGACGAGGCACUACGGUGCUGAAGCAACAAAUGCCCUGCUUCCAGGAAAAGCCUCUAAGCAUCAGGUAACAUCAAAUCGUACCCCAAACCGACACAGGUGGUCAGGUAGAGAAUACCAAGGCGCUUGAGAGAACUCGGGUGAAGGAACUAGGCAAAAUGGUGCCGUAACUUCGGGAGAAGG
RNAcentral lists this ribosomal RNA (1119 nucleotides) under Salmonella enterica subsp. enterica serovar Rissen. RNAcentral's name for it is "partial 23S ribosomal RNA". It matches the Rfam family "Bacterial large subunit ribosomal RNA", at positions 711 to 1746 of the family's 2925-position model. Lineage: Bacteria; Pseudomonadati; Pseudomonadota; Gammaproteobacteria; Enterobacterales; Enterobacteriaceae. The record is from RNAcentral.